UACAGAGGGGGCAAGCGUUGUUCGGAAUUACUGGGCGUAAAGGGCGCGUAGGCGGCCUUCUAAGUCGAACGUGAAAUCCCCGGGCUCAACCCGGGAACUGCGUCCGAUACUGGAAGGCUUGAAUCCGGGAGAGGGAUGUGGAAUUCCAGGUGUAGCGGUGGAAUGCGCAGAUAUCAGGAGGAACACCAAUAGCGAAGGCAGCUCGCUGGGACGUUACUGACACUGAGGCGCGAAAGCGUGGGGAGCGAACAGG
This 253-nucleotide ribosomal RNA is filed under the name uncultured bacterium. RNAcentral describes it as "partial 16S ribosomal RNA". It matches the Rfam family "Bacterial small subunit ribosomal RNA", at positions 524 to 776 of the family's 1533-position model. The record is from RNAcentral.